Molecule: ribosomal RNA, 93 nt
Filed under: marine eukaryotic metagenome
Source: RNAcentral
CGGGAAACACCUGGUUCCAUUCCGAACCCAGCAGUUAAGCCGUUAUACGCCGAUGGUACUGCGGGAGCGCCCGUGGGAGAGUAGGUACUGCCA